This is a non-coding RNA of Picea glauca (white spruce), 121 nucleotides long. The record is from Rfam. Lineage: Eukaryota; Viridiplantae; Streptophyta; Pinopsida; Pinales; Pinaceae.
GUACAUAAUUAUAGCAUAGCGUUAAUGCACUGAAUCCCAUUAGAACUCUGCAGUUAAGUGCACUUGGGAUAGAGUAGUAUUGGGAUGGGUAACCACCUGUGAAGUCCUAGUGUUUUACAUG